CCUACGGGUGGCAGCAGUGGGGAAUAUUGGGCAAUGGAGGAAACUCUGACCCAGCAACGCCGCGUGAAUGAUGAAGGUCUUCGGAGUGUAAAGUUCUUUUCUAAGGGAAGAAGAAAGUGACGGUACCUCAGGAAUAAGCCUCGGCUAACUACGUGCCAGCAGCCGCGGUAAUACGUAGGAGGCGAGCGUUAUCCGGAUUGACUGGGCGUAAAGGGUGCGUAGGUGGUUUGGCAAGUCAGUAGCGUAACUCCAAGGCUCAACCUUGGAACUACAGCUGAAACUGUUGGACUUGAGUGCAGGAGAGGCAAGCGGAAUUCGUGGUGUAGCGGUGAAAUGCGUAGAUAUUAGGAGGAACACCAGUGGCGAAGGCGGCUUGCUGGACUGUAACUGACACUGAGGCACGAAAGCGUGGGGAGCAAACAGGAUUAGAUACCCUUGUAGUC
This 443-nucleotide ribosomal RNA is filed under the name uncultured bacterium. Its description in RNAcentral is "partial 16S ribosomal RNA". It matches the Rfam family "Bacterial small subunit ribosomal RNA", at positions 338 to 795 of the family's 1533-position model. The record is from RNAcentral.